GAGCGGACUAGAGAGGAAGCUUGCUUCCUUUCUACUCAGCGGCGGACGGGUGAGUACACGUGGGUAACCUGCCCUUUAUAUUGGGAUAACAUCAGGAAACUGGUGCUAAUACCGGAUAGGAGAAUUGGUCGCAUGACCGAUUCUGGAAAGGUGGCGUAAGCUACCACUAAAGGAUGGACCCGCGGCGCAUUAGCUAGUUGGUGGGGUAACGGCCUACCAAGGCGACGAUGCGUAGCCGACCUGAGAGGGUGAUCGGCCACACUGGGACUGAGACACGGCCCAGACUCCUACGGGAGGCAGCAGUAGGGAAUCUUCGGCAAUGGGCGAAAGCCUGACCGAGCAACGCCGCGUGAGUGAAGAAGGUUUUCGGAUCGUAAAACUCUGUUGUAAGGGAAGAACAGCAGGUAGUUAAAUAAGCUACUUGUGUGACGGUACCUUAUUAGAAAGCCACGGCUAACUACGUGCCAGCAGCCGCGGUAAU
RNAcentral lists this ribosomal RNA (481 nucleotides) under uncultured bacterium. Its description in RNAcentral is "bacterial SSU rRNA". It matches the Rfam family "Bacterial small subunit ribosomal RNA", at positions 64 to 524 of the family's 1533-position model. The record is from RNAcentral.